ACCAAAUGGAGUUCAGAAACCAUUUUAAAAAUGAGGCAAUACCUACGAAGCCGUUAGAGUAAGAAAAUU
Molecule: regulatory RNA element, 69 nt
Organism: Bacteroidales bacterium Barb4
Lineage: Bacteria; Pseudomonadati; Bacteroidota; Bacteroidia; Bacteroidales
Rfam family: DUF805 RNA
Source: Rfam